This 518-nucleotide ribosomal RNA is filed under the name uncultured delta proteobacterium. Its description in RNAcentral is "bacterial SSU rRNA". It matches the Rfam family "Bacterial small subunit ribosomal RNA", at positions 36 to 523 of the family's 1533-position model. Lineage: Bacteria; Deltaproteobacteria. The record is from RNAcentral.
CUGGCGGCGUGGCCUAACACAUGCAAGUCGCACGAGAAACAUGUCCCUUCGGGGCAUGGAGUAAAGUGGCGCACGGGUGAGUAACACCGUGGGUAACCUGCCCUUAGGGACUGGGAUAACUGGCCGAAAGGCCCGCUAAUACCGGAUAAGACCACAAGAGCUUUGGCUCAAGGGGUCAAAGUCGGCCUCUCGAUGAAGCCGGCACCUGAGGAUGGGCCCGCGGACCAUUAGCUAGUUGGUGAGGUAACGGCUCACCAAGGCUGAGAUGGUUAGCUGGUCUGAGAGGAUGAUCAGCCACACUGGAACUGAGAUACGGUCCAGACUCCUACGGGAGGCAGCAGUGAGGAAUAUUGCGCAAUGGAGGAAACUCUGACGCAGCAACGCCGCGUGGGUGAAGAAGGCUUUCGGGUUGUAAAGCCCUGUCAGGCGGGAAGAAACCUUCACAGGUGAAUAGUCUGUGGAACUGACGGUACCGCCAAAGGAAGCACCGGCUAACUCCGUGCCAGCAGCCGCGGUAA